GCUCCCAAACGCUAUUGAUUUCAGAAUUAAUGGAUAUUUGGUGUUAUUUUUGGCAUUCAAAAAAGGUUGGUUUUUUUGCCUGGUGGGUGUUCUUGGCCCGGUGGCCCACCAAGUCUAUACAAUUAUAGGGGAAACACUGUGUUUAAUUCAAAUACCCAUAGAGAGAAGAUGUGUCACUCUGUUGGAGUUGUGGGAACUACAGAAACACUCAAUCCACUCACAAUAUAACAGCGGUGUUACAGAGUGGAGAUCCCUCCCUCACAAAUUAUCUUUGGCUGAGUACAGACUCACAAACCCAAUAACAGUUUUAAUUUUGGCCUGAAUUAAAGUUAUUCACAGAAUUAAUGUUAAUUAGCAACAGCUGAUAUGAUCUGCCAAUUUGUACACUGCUACUCUUUGGCAGUGAGAAAGAGAGAGUUAGUCGUAGUUUAGUGAAUGUGUGUAUUUUGCCAACCAGGACAUCAGAAUUCAGAGCCACACACUCGGGACUCGCAUAUACGAGCGAAAUGCUCACACUGUCGGCUGUGGUGAAGGAGAGCAGCACUGCGACGCUAGCAGGUUGAGCUGGACCAAACACAGUAGAGCUCAGUAAAGAAUCAGCAUUUGAUCGACUUUAUUUUAGCAGAUGCCAAUCUUUUAAAAAUAUGCCCUGAUAUGGAACAUCUCUUGUUACUUCAUCUCUGCUCAGCAAGUGGUUUAAUUGGAUACUUUACACAAGCAACAAACACCCUUACAAGUAUACUGAUAUAUUUUUGUUAACAUGUUGUUCUACUCCCAUGUAUUCAGUCCUUUUACUCAUAUUUCUAUCCACUUAAAAAAAACAAACAUAUCGCGGGCUUCAGGGUCCUGAGCACCAAGAUGUUCUGGCAGACCCAACAGACCAUCCAACAACCACCUGCUGGCUUUACUCCACCACCGCCAGUGUCUCGACUGAGGAAUCCUGUUCUAUCUCUAAUCUUUACAUGGGUUUAUGCUUAAUGAAGAUGCUUCACAUCGAUGGAUUCUAAUCAUCAAGUCUUUUUCUGUUGCUACCCUCGAUAAAUACUGUUAUACACUUCCAACCGUUUACUGAACUGAGUGCAGGCAAAUUUGUCACACAGCCUUGUCUACCGCCCACCACUACACCUUCGCCUGCAACUGUCAACACUGCCAUAUGAUUGAUUGUGGGCUGCACAGUUUUGAUUUACUUUUACUAGUUUCAGAAAAAACUCUCGUCUGUACUUUUUCUGCUUUGAGGACGUUGUAAGGCAUGUCUGCUCCCACCGUGACUUGCAAGCCUCACCAUCUGGCAGGAGCACAUUUCGGCAGCAGCCUGAGAACACGCUAAAUUAGAUUUCGUUUGGAGUAAACUGCUGUUCGUGCUGCUACAAACUUCCAUUUUCUUACUGUUGGGAUAAUGCUAAUCACCUGUGAUUACUAACCAUACUGUAGGCUAAAAGCACGAGCAUGUGAUAGAACUCUGUAUUGUAUAACUCUGGAAUAUGACACAACUUUAAACUGAAUUAUAUGAACAUUAGAAGGUGUUAAGCUCAGUUCUGUCAUAUAAAGGGAGGAUAAACAGAGCGUAGGUGGGUUUAUCUUCUCCUAAACCCCUUUGUGUUAUAUCUGUGUAAAGAUAUGCAGGAUCGACAUAGCCUUUACUGUGUAUAGAUACCCAUUGGACAACAUAACAAUGUCCUAUUCAGUACUCCAACAGCUGCAUCCGCUUUGAUUGUCUAUUAAAGAAUGCGCACUAUAGCUCCAAGGUUACAUCAGUCAUGCUGUAUAAACUUUAUCCACCUGCAUUUUGUUGCUCACUCCCCUGUCUCCUCCUGUCGGCCUCUUUUUCUUCUAACCCUCUUUCUCUCCUCCUUUCUCCAUCAGGCGUUGGUAUUCUCAUCUGAAAGAGGAGAACAGAGAGGGAAAGAAUAAGCAUGGGGAUGCAAGGGCACAUGGCGGAGAGAAUACUAAGCACCGAUGAGUGUUAAACACAAAGCCCCGCACAGGCGCCGGUGUGCACGCACACACACAGAGGAGAACUACAACUUCAGUUUAUGCAAGACACGGGCAAUUAUCGAGCGGGUCAACGAGCAGUGGAAACGUCGCUUCCAUUGCCUGCAUGCUGAGCUUUGUGUGGAUCCAGGCAGAGCAUGCAAGAUCACUCUUGCAUAGUGCUGUUCAACUUAUCGAAGGACUUUGCAGUAGAUAAGGAGGAUGAGCAGCAUGAGACCACUGAAGAGGCCGAGGAGGAUGGGGAGGAAGGAGUUGAAAACUAUGACCACACUGUGCGAGAGACCAUAGUUACCAAUUUAUUUAGCUAAAAGAAAUAAUAAAAGGCUAUAAAUAAAGAAUGAUUCCACAAAUUAUUGUAAUUAAGUACAUUUAUUUGUUAUUGAAACGUAUAUGUUUGGACAGGAAUGAUUAUAAUAUUUAAUAAUUAAUACUUAUUUGUUAUGAAGUGGAUACAUGGCCUGUCUAUUAUUCAAGAGCAGCCGCAGUUAAUAUGAUUGAUUCUUCAGAGAGCUUGCUUAUUUCGUGUUGCAGUAAAACAUUUUACAUGUACAAAUUGUUUUUCUCCAUGGCCAAGUUCUCAAUUUGAAGCUCUAAUUUCCUUUUUUGGAGAAGUAAAACUUCCCCUCGGAGUGCCAGAACAGAUGGACUGUCUCCGUUGCUUCUGUAAUGAAAAAAAGAGGGGACAAGCAAUAAUGCAACUUUAGCAGUAACAAGACGGUGAGUCGUGAUCAGUGAUGUCCACUACCAUCACUGCCUCAUUUGAAAGAGGGUUUGGAGGUGGACCCCUGCCUGGAAAAUUACAGUUGUUAGUAAAUGAUUUAUUUUAUAGCACAGUUACAAUCUGAACGAGAAGGCUAGUUUAUGUCAUGGAAUGUUAUAGGGGCCUUAAGCCUACUUCAUGCUAGCUAGCUAACGGUAGGCUAUAAGGUUACAGUCUAGUUAAUAUCUAUAGCUUAAAUACUUUAAUGUGUAAUGAAAACAACAAUAAAUAAAUAACUCAGAAGAAGAUGUCAUUUCUAUUAUGAACGACUUCUGUACAGAGAUUUCUCUUUGUCUGUUGUUUUCUGUUUGCUGUUAUUUGCGGAUCAUAUUUACUUUUUAGUAUGUGCUUUCAUUUAUUGUAUUCCUCCAGAAGUAUAAUCUUUUCUGACCAAUUUGGUUUUCUUGUCUUCUUUUCUUCCAUU
Molecule: long non-coding RNA, 3176 nt
Organism: Thunnus maccoyii (southern bluefin tuna)
Lineage: Eukaryota; Metazoa; Chordata; Actinopteri; Scombriformes; Scombridae
Exons: 3
Source: RefSeq, a predicted model, not a curated record